GGUGGUGUUACACACAUUCACACUGUUGCAGGCGUGCAGGUCGGUGGUGUUACACACAUUUGGGCUGUUGCAGGCGUACAGGUCAGUGGUGUUACACACAUGCUGUUGCAGGAGUACAGGUCGGUGGUGUUACACACAUUCAUGCUGUUGCAGGCGUGCAGGUUGGUGCUGUUACACACAUGCUGUUGCAGGAGUACAGGUCGGUGGUGUUACAUGCUGUUGCAGGCGUGCAGGUCGGUGGUGUUACAUUCACGCUGUUGCAGGCGUGCAGGUCGGUGCUGUUACACACAUUCCUGCUGUUGCAGGAGUACAGGUCGGUGGUGUUACACGUGCUGUUGCAGGUGUGCAGGUCGGUGGUGGUACACACAUUCAUGCUGUUGCAGGAGUAUAGGUCGGUGGUGUUACACACAUUCACGCUGUUGCAGACGUGCAGGUCAGUGCUGUUACACACGCUGUUGCAGGCGUGCAGGUUGGUGGUGUUACAUUCACACUGUUGCAGGCGUGCAGGUCGGUGGUGUUACACACAUUCAUUCUGUUGCAGGCGUGCAGGUCAGUGUUACACACAUUCACGCUGUUGCAGGCGUGCAGGUCGGUGGUGUUACACACAUUCACGCUGUUGCAGAUGUGCAGGUCGGUGCUGUUACAUUCACGCUGUUGCAAGCGUGCAGGUCGGUGGUGUUACAUUCACGCUGUUGCUGGCGUGCAGGUCGGUGGUGUUACACACAUUCACACUGUUGCAGACAUGCAGGUCGGUGCUGUUACACACAUUCAUGCUGUUGCAGGCGUGCAGGUCGGUGGUGUUACAUUCACACUUGCAGGCGUGCAGGUCGGUGGUGUUACACACAUUCAUGCUGUUGCAGGCGUGCAGGUCGGUGGUGUUACACACAUUCACACUGUUGCAGGCGUGCAGGUCGGUGGUGUUACAUUCAUGCUGUUGCAGGCGUGCAGGUCAGUGGUGUUACACACAUUCACGCUGUUGCAGGCAUGCAGGUCGGUGGUGUUACACACAUUCACGCUUUUGCAGGCGUGCAGGUCGGUGGUCUUACAUUCAUACUGUUGCAGGCGUGCAGGUCGGUGGUGUUACAUUCACACUGUUGCAGGCGUGCAGGUUGGUGUUACACACAUUCACACUUGCAGGCGUGCAGGUCGGUGGUGUUACACACAUGCUGUUGCAGGCGUGCAGGUCGGUGGUGUUACAUUCACACUGUUGCAGGCGUGCAGGUCGGUGGUACACACAUUCACACUGUUGCAGGCGUGCAGGUCGGUGGUGUUACACACAUUCAUGGUGUUGCAGGCGUGCAGGUCGGUGUUACACACAUGCUGUUGCAGGCGUGCAGGUCGGUGGUACACACAUUCAUGCUGUUGCAGGCGUGCAGGUCGGUGGUGUUACAUUCACGCUGUUGCAGGAGUACAGGUCAGUGGUGUUACACACAUUCAUGCUGUUGUGCAGCUAUCACUUCCAUCUCCAGAGCCCUUUUCAUCUUAAAACUGAAGCUCUCCCAUCACACAGUGACCCUUCA
Molecule: long non-coding RNA, 1520 nt
Filed under: Homo sapiens (human)
Lineage: Eukaryota; Metazoa; Chordata; Mammalia; Primates; Hominidae
Description: non-protein coding lnc-UAP1L1-4:8
Source: RNAcentral